ACCAACCAACCAACCAACCAACCAACCAACCAACCAAUCAAUCAAUCAAUCAAUCAAUCAAUCAAUCAAUCAAUCAAUCAAUCAAUCAUGUUUCCGUCUCGUCUCGUGUGUUUAAUAUAGGGUCCAAGAUCUUCUUUGUUUCUUUUUCGCUGUUUCAAUUGGCCCUAUCCAACGUGUUUAACCAACCAACCAACCAACCAACCAACCAACCAACCAAUCAAUCAAUCAAUCAAUCAAUCAAUCAUGUUUCCGUCUCGUGUGUUUAAUAUAGGGUCCAAGAUCUUUUUUGUUUCUUUUUCGCUGUUUCAAUUGGCCCUAUCCAACGUGUUUUACCAACCAACCAACCAACCAACCAACCAACCAACCAACUAAUCAAUCAAUCAAUCAAUCAAUCAAUCAAUCAUGAUCAUGAUCAAUCAAUCAUGUUUCAUGAAAAAUUGAAAUUUAAUAUUGUUCUUGCGUCACUUCUGAAAAAAAAAUCCACAUGUACUCUGAAACUACAAAUACAAUCGACCUCAAAAUUUGCAGUCAGCAGGGCAUACAUGUACUAAAAGUUUAUAAAAAAAACUUGGUGCAGAUAUCUCUCAAAGCUUUUCCUAGAGAAAAAGAAAUUGCAAUGCCGUAAAAAUUGCUUGCUAGGUCCGUAAAUUUCAGUAAAAGCCUACAAUAAAAUGUCCGCUCCGAGAUUGAAAUACUAAUCUGUGUUACAAACAGGUGCUGAAAAAUGUACAUUAUCAGAAAAUAAUCAAUAAAUGUGUUUUAAAGUUACACCGGAUCAAUUAAAUCCAAAACAUGCACUGCUGGUGAACUGUGAUCAAAAUGUCAAUUUCCUACAAUGACAAAAGAAAUUACAUUGUGUGCAUUCCAUCUCUAUACAUGUUGUCUGUUCAAAGUCCCGACCUAAAAAGAAAUUAAAAAGACUAAGUCUUUUCGUUAAUUAUAAACCCGCGUGUCACGUGAUGUCUCCUCAAUCUUGCGCGCGCGCUGUAUCUAAAAUAAAAGAAAAACUUUCCAAACUAAACAUGAAACUUCUCCGGUAACAUAAUAAUAUAGACCCCAUACCAAAGCAAACAAACAAACAAAUAAACAAAUACCCAACCCCCCCCUUUUUCCAAAUCAAUCAAUAAAAAAAAUCAAUUAUCCAUUCAUCAGAGGGGAAAGACUGCCUAACAAUUGUUUUCAAAACAAUUGCUUUAUAUUUAUUAGGUCUUUCCACUUUUCUGUGGAAAGCCUAUUGUAUUUGUUCUGAUUAUUAUUAUUAUUAUUUUUUUUUUUUUUCCGCCAAAUUUUGUUCUUGCGAUAAAUGUUUGUUUCGCAAUAUGUCGCUUAGAUUUUUUUCAUAUUGUAUCGUAUAGUUUAUGCGCUUUUAAAUUUCACCCUGCUAAGCCGAACCAUUUUCUUUGUAAGAGUUAUCUCCCUAUUCACUGUUUGUCAUGUGUGUGCAUCUCCUUCGUAACAAAAUAAGAAAGCGACAAAAUUCUUUUUACAAAUUGUUCGUUACAUCCUCAGGAAUUUUUGGCUAAUUUGGAUCGAAGCGAUUCGAUGAAAUUUUAUAGGAGUUAUGUACCUUUACGGAAUAAAUUUGUCGGUAUGUUUUUUUAACUCAUAAACCGUUAACCGUAUAACCCUGGAAUGUUUUUAUUUGAGUCCCCUGGGUCCUAACUUAGAAAAUUAGGUCAAGGUCAAAGGUCAAGGUCAUAUUUUAGAUUUUCAUAUGUCUUUGAUUUCCCUAUAAUUCUUGAAUGGUUAUAGAUACAGAAAAUUUAAGCAGUGAAAAAUGUUCAGUACUUCAAGGGGCAACUUUGUUACAUUAUGACUGUAUUGGUUUUACCAUUAUGUAAGGGACAUAACCCCCAUUGAUGGUUUAUAAAAAGCCAUUAUUAGGCAAAACUCUUAAACAAAAGGUCCUUGACCCAUAGGGUCUUUUGCAAUGACAUUGUGAAGCAAUGACCUUGACAAAGGUCACAAGGUCAAAGGUCAAGGUCAUGUACAUAUGUGAUUUGGGGCACGACUUGAAGAAUUUUAUGUGUGUUUGCCAACCAACCAACCAACCAACCAACCAAUCAUGAUCAAUCAAUAAUGAUCAAUCAACAAAUCAUGAUCAUCAAUCAACCAAUCAUGAUCAUGAUUAAUCAUGAUCAUCAAUCAACCAAUAAUCAUAUCAUGAUCAAUCAAUCAAUCAUGUUUCCGUCUCAUGUGUUUAAUAUAGGGUUCAAGAUCUUCUUUGUUUCUUUUUCGCUGUUUCAAUUGACCCUUUCCAACGUGUUUAAACCAACCAACCAACCAACCAACCAAUCAAUCAAUCAAUCAAUCAAUCAAUCAAUCAAUCAUGAUCAAUCAAUCAAUCAAUCAAUCAUGUUUCCGUCUCGUCUCAUGUGUUUUUAAUAUAGGGUCCAAGAUCUUCUUUGUUUCUUUUUCGCUGUUUCAAUUGGCCCUAUCCAACGUGUUUAACCAACCAACCAACCAACCAACCAACCAAUCCAAUCAAUCAAUCAAUCAAUCAAUCAUGUGUUCCGUCUCAUGUGUUUAAUAUACGGUCCAAGAUCUUCUUUGUUUCUUUUUCGCUGUUUCAAUUGACCCUAUCCAACGUGUUUAACCAACCAACCAACCAACCAACCAAUCCAAUCCAAUCAAUCAAUCAAUCAAUCAAUCAAUCAAUCAAUCAUCAUGAUCAUGAUCAAUCAAUCAUGUUUCAUGAAAAAUUGAAAUUUAAUAUUGUUCUUGCGUCACUUCUGAAAAAAAAAUCCACAUGUACUCUGAAACUACAAAUACAAUCGACCUCAAAAUUUGCAGUCAGCAGGGCAUACAUGUACUAAAAGUUUAUAAAAAAACUUGGUGCAGAUAUCUCUCAAAGCUUUUCCUAGAGAAAAAAAAUUGCAAUGCCGUAAAAAUCGCUUGCUAGGUCCGUAAAUCUCAGUAAAAACCUACAAUAAAAUGUCCGCUCCGAGAUUGAAAUACUAAUCUGUGUUACAAACAGGUGCUGAAAAAUGUACAUUAUCUAGAAAAUAAUCAAUAAUGUGUUUUAAAGUUACACCGGAUCAAUUAAAUCCAAACAUGCACUGCUGUGUAACUUGUCAUCAAAAUGUCAAUUUCCUACAAUGACAAAGAAAUUACAUUGUUUACAUUCCGUCUCUAUACAUGUUGUCUGUUCAAGAUCCCACCUAAAAAGAAUUAAAAGACUAAUUUUUCGUUAUUAUAAACCCGUGUCACGUGAUGUCAUUGGCGCGCGCGCUGUACCUAAAAUAAAAGAAAACUUUCCAAACUAAACAUGAAACUUCUCCGGUAACAAUAAUAUAGACCCUACAAAACAAACAACAAACAAACAAACAAACAAACACCCCCCCCCACCAUCACACAACCAUCCCUUCCUUACAUCCCUUUCGCCCCGUUCCCACCCCUUUCUUUUUUAAUAAUCAAUAAAGAAUGAUUUAUCUAUCAUCAGAGAAAGACGCUAACAUGUUUUAAUAAAAAUCUGAUAUUUUUUUUAGGUCUUUCCACUUUUCUGUGGAAGCUAUUUGUAUUUGUUCUGAUUAUUAUUAUUAUUUUUUUUUUUUUUUUUUUUUUCCGCCAAUUUUUGUUCUUGCGAUAAUGUUUGUUUCGCAUAUGUCGCUUAGAUUUUUUUCAUAUUGUAUCGUAUAGUUUAUGCGCUUUUAAAUUUCACCCUGCUAAGCCGAACCAUUUUCUUUGUAAGAGUAUCUCCCUAUUCACUGUUUGUCAUGUGUGUGCAUCUCCUUCGUAACAAAAUAAGAAAGCGACAAAAUUCUUUUACAAAUUGUUCGUUAUCUCAGGAAUUUUUGCUAAUUUGAUGAAGCGAUUCGAUGAAUUUUUAAGGAGUUAUGUAUUUAUGGAAUAAUUAUUGUCGGUAUGUUUUUUUAACUCAUAAACCGUUAACCGUAUAACCCUGGAAUGUUUUUAUUUGAGUCCCUGGGUCCUAAUAAAAAUUAGGUCAAGGUCAAAGGUCAAGGUCAUAUUUUAGAUUUUAUAUGUUUUUUGUUUCCCUAUCAGCAAAUUGUCUUUUGAAAUUGGUAUAGGAUNNNNNNNNNNNNNNNNNNNNNNNNNNNNNNNNNNNNNNNNNNNNNNNNNNNNNNNNNNNNNNNNNNNNNNNNNNNNNNNNNNNNNNNNNNNNNNNNNNNNNNNAAAAGAGAGAAUCCAACAACCCAAACCAACAUAUGAUCAAUCAAUAAUGAUCAAUCAACAAAUCAUGAUCAUGAUCAAUCAACAAAUCAUGAUCAUGAUUAAUCAAUCAAUCAAUCAUGUUUCCGUCUCAUGUGUUUAAUAUAGGGUUCAAGAUCUCCUUUGUUUCUUUUUCGCUGUUUCAAUUGACCCUUUCCAACGUGUUUAACCAACCAACCAACCAACCAACCAACCAAUCAAUCAAUCAAUCAAUCAAUCAAUCAAUCCAAUCAUCAUCAAUCAAUCAAUCAAUCAAUCAAUCAACAUCAAUCAAUCAUGUUUCCGUCUCGUCUCGUGUGUUUAAUAUAGGGUCCAAGAUCUUCUUUGUUUCUUUUUCGCUGUUUCAAUUGGCCCUAUCCAACGUGUUUAACACCAACCAACAACCACCAACCAACCAACCAACCACAACCAACCAACCAACCAACCAAUCAAUCAAUCAAUAAUCAAUCAAUAUCAAUCAUCAAUCAUGUUUCCGUCUCGUGUGUUUAAUAUAGGGUCCAAGAUCUUUUUUGUUUCUUUUUCGCUGUUUCAAUUGGCCCAUCCAACGUGUUUUAAACCAACCAACCAACCAACCAACCAACUAAUAAUCAAUCAAUCAAUCAAUCAAUCAAUCAAUCAUCAUUCAUGAUCAUGAUCAAUCAUGAUCAUGAUCAAUCAAUCAUGUUUCAUGAAAAAUUGAAAUUUAAUAUUGUUCUUGCGUCACUUCUGAAAAAAAAAUCCACAUGUACUCUGAAACUACAAAUACAAUCGACCUCAAAUUUGCAGUCAGCAGGGCAUACAUGUACUAAAGUUAUAAAAAAACUUGGUGCAGAUAUCUCUCAAAGCUUUUCCUAGAGAAAAAAAUUGCAAUGCGUAAAAAUUGCUUGCUAGGUCGUAAAUUUCAGUAAAAGCCUACAAUAAAAUGUCCGCUCCGAGAUUGAAAUACUAAUCUGUGUUAAACAACAGGUGCUGAAAAAUGUACAUUAUCAGAAAAAUAUCAAUAAAUGUGUUUUAAAGUUACACCGGAUCAAAUAAAUCCAAAUCAUGCACUGCUUGUGACUGUCAUCAAAAUGUCAAUUUCCUACAAUGACAAAGAAAUUACAUUGUGUGCAUUCCGUCUCUAUACAUGUUGCCUGUUCAAAGUCCCACUAAAAAGGAAUAAAAAGACUAUCUUUUCGUUAUUAUAAACCCGUGUCACGUGAUGUGGCGCGCGCGCGCUUACCUAAAAUAAAAGAAAAACUUUCCAAACUAAACAUGAAACUUCUCCGGUAACAUAAUAUAGACCCCAUACAGAAAAAAACAAACAAACAAACAAACAAACAAACAAACAACACCCCCCCCCCCAAUUCAAUUAAUUUUAAAGGGGAAAGACCCCCUACAAUUGCUUUUUAAAGCAAUUGAUUUAUAUUGUAAAAAACCUUUUUAACCAUUCUGUUCCGUUAAUAAAAAAAAAAAAAAAAAAUCUCCCCGAGACCCCCUUUUGCCCCCCCCCCUUUUUUUUUAACCCUCCACUUACAACUGAAUGUAGGUUGUGUACUAUCUAUCCUAUCAACGUAAAACGAACGACAACUCCAGUUUUUUCCAUAUUAUUAGGUCUUUCCACUUUUCUGUGGAAAGCCUAUUGUAUUUGUUCUGAUUAUUAGGUCUUUCCACUUUUCUGUGGAAAGCCUAUUGUAUUUGUUCUGAUUAUUAUUAUUAUUUUUUUUUUUUUUUCCGCCAAAUUUUGUUCUUGCGAUAAAUGUUUGUUUCGCAAUAUGUCGCUUAGAUUUUUUUCAUAUUGUAUCGUAUAGUUUAUGCGCUUUUAAAUUUCACCCUGCUAAGCCGAACCAUUUUCUUUGUAAGAGUUAUCUCCCUAUUCACUGUUUGUCAUGUGUGUGCAUCUCCUUCGUAACAAAAUAAGAAAGCGACAAAAUUCUUUUUACAAAUUGUUCGUUACAUCCUCAGGAAUUUUUGGCUAAUUUGGAUCGAAGCGAUUCGAUGAAAUUUUAUAGGAGUUAUGUACCUUUACGGAAUAAAUUUGUCGGUAUGUUUUUUUAACUCAUAAACCGUUAACCGUAUAACCCUGGAAUGUUUUUAUUUGAGUCCCCUGGGUCCUAACUUAGAAAAUUAGGUCAAGGUCAAAGGUCAAGGUCAUAUUUUAGAUUUUCAUAUGUCUUUGAUUUCCCUAUAAUUCUUGAAUGGUUAUAGAUACAGAAAAUUUAAGCAGUGAAAAAUGUUCAGUACUUCAAGGGGCAACUUUGUUACAUUAUGACUGUAUUGGUUUUACCAUUAUGUAAGGGACAUAACCCCCAUUGAUGGUUUAUAAAAAGCCAUUAUUAGGCAAAACUCUUAAACAAAAGGUCCUUGACCCAUAGGGUCUUUUGCAAUGACAUUGUGAAGCAAUGACCUUGACAAAGGUCACAAGGUCAAAGGUCAAGGUCAUGUACAUAUGUGAUUUGGGGCACGACUUGAAGAAUUUUAUGUGUGUUUGCCAACCAACCAACCAACCAACCAAUCAUGAUCAAUCAAUAAUGAUCAAUCAACAAAUCAUGAUCAUGAUCAAUCAACCAAUCAUGAUCAUGAUUAAUCAAUCAAUCAAUCAUGUUUCCGUCUCAUGUGUUUAAUAUAGGGUUCAAGAUCUCCUUUGUUUCUUUUUCGCUGUUUCAAUUGACCCUUUCCAACGUGUUUAACCAACCAACCAACCAACCAACCAACCAACCAAUCAAUCAAUCAAUCAAUCAAUCAAUCAAUCAAUCAAUCAAUCAUCAAUCAAUCAAUCAAUCAUGUUUCCGUCUCGUGUGUUUAAUAUAGGGUCCAAGAUCUUCUUUGUUUCUUUUUCGCUGUUUCAAUUGACCCUAUCCAACGUGUUUAACCAACCAACCAACCAACCAACCAACCAACCAACCAAUCAAUCAAUCAAUCAAUCAUGAUCAUGAUCAAUCAAUCAUGUUUCCGUCUCGUGUGUUUAAUAUAGGGUCCAAGAUCUUCUUUGUUUCUUUUUCGCUGUUUCAAUUGGCCCUAUCCAACGUGUUUUAACCAACCAACCAACCAACCAACCAACCAACCAAUCAAUCAAUCAAUCAAUCAAUCAAUCAAUCAUGAUCAUGAUCAAUCAAUCAUCAAGAAUCAAUCAAUCAUGAUCAUGAUCAAUCAAUCAUGUUUCAUGAAAAAUUGAAAUUUAAUAUUGUUCUUGCGUCACUUCUGAAAAAAAAAAUCCACAUGUACUCUGAAACUACAAGUACAAUCGACCUCAAAAUUUGCAGUCAGCAGGGC
RNAcentral lists this long non-coding RNA (7404 nucleotides) under Mytilus galloprovincialis (Mediterranean mussel). The record is from RNAcentral. Lineage: Eukaryota; Metazoa; Mollusca; Bivalvia; Mytilida; Mytilidae.